UGGGGAAUAUUGCACAAUGGAGGAAACUCUGAUGCAGCAACGCCGCGUGGAGGAUGACGCAUUUCGGUGUGUAAACUCCUUUUAUAAGGGAAGAUAAUGACGGUACCUUAUGAAUAAGCACCGGCUAACUCCGUGCCAGCAGCCGCGGUAAUACGGAGGGUGCAAGCGUUACUCGGAAUCACUGGGCGUAAAGGAUGCGUAGGCUGGAAAUCAAGUCGAGAGUGAAAUCCAACGGCUCAACCGUUGAACUGCUCUCGAAACUGAUUACCUAGAAUAUGGGAGAGGUAGAUGGAAUUGGUGGUGUAGGGGUAAAAUCCGUAGAUAUCACCAGGAAUACCGAUUGCGAAGGCGAUCUACUGGAACAUUAUUGACGCUGAGGCAUGAAAGCGUGGGGAGCAAACA
Molecule: ribosomal RNA, 402 nt
Filed under: uncultured bacterium
Lineage: Bacteria
Also listed under: 1 other name
Description: partial 16S ribosomal RNA
Rfam family: Bacterial small subunit ribosomal RNA
Source: RNAcentral